This 2381-nucleotide long non-coding RNA is filed under the name Equus caballus (horse). Its description in RNAcentral is "lncRNA (ENSECAG00000046390.1)". Lineage: Eukaryota; Metazoa; Chordata; Mammalia; Perissodactyla; Equidae. The record is from RNAcentral.
GGAAUCAUUAGGAAUAAAAAGAAAUUCUCAGUUAGUGUGACACACAUCUGAGCUGGCUACUAAGGGAAUAAAUAGCUUCUAGAAGAUUUCAUCCAUGGCGGUAUUCGGCAGGAUCCGAUUACAUUUAAAUGCUAAUGCACAUCCUGCAGCAUUCUGAUUCACCGGAGGACUAAUGUUGCUGAUAGGCACGCAGAUAGCCUGGACGGAUAUUACAUUCUGAGCAACAGCAGAGCAAAACCCUCCCAACCUUCAGUUCCUCCAAAACGCCCAUAAACUGGCUGAGCUAGGAAAUAGCCACAAAAGAAGAGAAAUGCUCCAGGUUCACAGGAGCCAGUGGAGGACUUCAAGUCCCUAGAAGAUGGUGGAACCACAUCAUGGAAAGAGCCUGCAUCCCCAAAUGACUACAUGGAGCAGAGCCCCUGCUCCAGCCUGUAGUUGACUGUGAAACCAACAAGAAAUAAACCUGUGGUACGUCAAGCCCUCAAGAUUGUUUGUUACAGUAGCCAGUUUACUUGCCCUGGCUAAUAUAUUGUCAAAAAUCAUUAAGGAGAAAAUAAGAGGCUUUCUCUAAUUAUGUAAAUUAGACCUUCAUCUGUUUCAGUUUGGCAUUUGGGAUCUUUUUGUCCCCCCAGUUCUGAAACCGCUCUUAGUUAUGAGGAUGAUUCUGGCUAAGGGCAGGGCGGGCGGAAGAUACAGGCACCAGGGUGCGAGGAAGCCCUCAGACCCAAAUCUCUAUAAGAGCCACGCUUCUGGUUCUUUGCCUUCUCUCGCCUGUCAUCUGAUGAAAAUAUUAGGAAGCAGAGCCACAGAGAAAGUUGAGAAGCAGGAGAGAAACUACAGCAAUGACACCUGGACUGGCUUUUCCUUGGAUUAACUAGGAAUUGACGGGGUAAGGGGAGCCACGUGGCUGCUGCAGAGACCAGCAGUUCUGCAACAUGUCCAGAACCCUGCCAUCUCCACACGCCAAGGACCCCUAAGAGCUGGCCAGCCCCAGGCUGAAGAUGGGUCAUGUCAAGGACAGGGCUUUACAGAAUUCCCACCAGAGAAUAAUAAGGUGUCAUUGAGAGAGGAACAUAGAUGGCGGCAGGACAGUCUCUGCUCUGGAGGAGGCAAGUCAGGACUCCCUGUGGCAUAAGGGCUGCUCCAGGAGGGGCUGAGAGAUCACAGUGACGAGCCAAGAGCUCAGGAAAGGGCAGCAGACACUGGACUCUUGUUUCAAAUGAUUCUCAAGCAAGGGAUGCAAACGCAAAUGCCUACCUGAGGCUGAGCCUGGGCGGAGCAGGUCUGAGUCUGGACUAGCCACGUUUCCAGUGCUCAGCGGCCACAUGCGGCUGGUGGCUCCUGCAUGAGACAGUGUGGGGCAGAGUCUGUCCCCGGGCUGCUUUGCGGGGCGCUGGGACUCGGGCUUCAAGUAACAACCGCAAGCAUCAUCUAACCGUCAAACGCUGUGCUCCUCAAAGUGCGCUUGGGAGCCGCCUGUGUCCCCUCGCUGAGGGAGCUCGUUGACAAGAAAGGUUUCCAGGCCCUCACCGUCGGGGACCGUGAUCCGGAAUCUCAGAGGCAAGGGCUGGAAACUCUGCAUCUCUAGUGCGCAGCACCCUGGAUACCGAAGCGCUGCCUUCGAGCCACAGAAUAGACAUUUUUGUUUCGUUUUGUUUUUAAUAACGUCUUUGUGGCCUGGAUAGUUUUAUCAACCCAGAAUAAACCAGAAGUUGAUUGUUGCUAUGGAAUCAAAACCACAGUUGCUGUCAGCCAGUAAUUAUUAAAAACGCGUCCACCUGUGCAACGGGAGGCCGCUCUCCCUCCUGGCAGGAUUUCCCCGCCUGAACUGAGAGCAGUGGCGCUCAUCUCUGCCCCUCGGCUCCUCCUGGGGGUAAACGCUUCAUCGGUGACAGUUUUGAGUCUCCCCUUUCUCUCUUGGCUUCAUCAUCGUGGUGUCCCAGCUCCAAACCCUGAGCCCCGUUUCCUCGGGACUGAAGACGCACAGGGCUGCCUCGUAGGUGCUGUGCUGAGAUGGCUGAUUAAGUUCCCCGCUGGAUGUGUUCGGCUCUGCACGAGGCGCCCAAAGGAAGCGGGAUGACCCUGGGAGCUCAUCGUGCCACGCACUGCUGAGAGAGAAUCCCCAGUUCGCUCUGCCCCAAGUCCCCGCUCGCCUUCCUGCCAGAAGCUCAGGCCGAGGCCAAACCUGCGCGGAGCGGGUCCUGCAGCCGCGGGACCCCGGGUCUCCCUGCCCACGUGUGUUCAGACGCCCCGCGAACUGCGGCGGGGCUGCGGUCCUCACGAUUUUAAAGCAGUCCAGCGUGGUGUCUUCAGCAAUUAAAAAAAAAAAGCCUAUUUCUCACUAACUCCCCAGGGAGACGAGGCAGGUGACUUUAAAUAUC